CAACAACGGAUCUCUUGGCUCUGGCAUCGAUGAAGAACGCAGCGAAACGCGAUAAGUAAUGUGAAUUGCAGAAUCCAGUGAAUCAUCGAAUCUUUGAACGCACAUUGCGCCCGCCAGCAUUCUGGCGGGCAUGCCUGUUCGAGCGUC
RNAcentral lists this ribosomal RNA (147 nucleotides) under Beauveria bassiana. RNAcentral describes it as "5.8S ribosomal RNA". It matches the Rfam family "5.8S ribosomal RNA". Rfam says of the family: 5.8S ribosomal RNA (5.8S rRNA) is a component of the large subunit of the eukaryotic ribosome. It is transcribed by RNA polymerase I as part of the 45S precursor that also contains 18S and 28S rRNA. Functionally, it is thought that 5.8S rRNA may be involved in ribosome translocation. The record is from RNAcentral. Lineage: Eukaryota; Fungi; Ascomycota; Sordariomycetes; Hypocreales; Cordycipitaceae.